RNAcentral lists this ribosomal RNA (471 nucleotides) under uncultured organism. RNAcentral's name for it is "partial 16S ribosomal RNA". It matches the Rfam family "Bacterial small subunit ribosomal RNA", at positions 334 to 797 of the family's 1533-position model. The record is from RNAcentral.
CACUCCUGCGGGAGGCAGCAGUGGGGAAUUUUGGACAAUGGGCGAAAGCCUGAUCCAGCAAUGCCGCGUGAGUGAAGAAGGCCUUCGGGUUGUAAAGCUCUUUUGUCAGGGAAGAAACGGUGAGAGCUAAUAUCUUUUGCUAAUGACGGUACCUGAAGAAUAAGCACCGGCUAACUACGUGCCAGCAGCCGCGGUAAUACGUAGGGUGCAAGCGUUAAUCGGAAUUACUGGGCGUAAAGCGUGCGCAGGCGGUUUUGUAAGUCUGAUGUGAAAUCCCCGGGCUCAACCUGGGAAUUGCAUUGGAGACUGCAAGGCUAGAAUCUGGCAGAGGGGGGUAGAAUUCCACGUGUAGCAGUGAAAUGCGUAGAUAUGUGGAGGAACACCGAUGGCGAAGGCAGCCCCCUGGGUCAAGAUUGACGCUCAUGCACGAAAGCGUGGGGAGCAAACAGGAUUAGAUACCCGUGUAGUCCC